UACAGAGGGUGCAAGCGUUAAUCGGAAUUACUGGGCGUAAAGCGCGCGUAGGUGGUUUGUUAAGUUGGGUGUGAAAGCCCCGGGCUCAACCUGGGAACUGCAUCCAAAACUGGACAACUAGAGUACAGUAGAGGGUGGUGGAAUUUCCUGUGUAGCGGUGAAAUGCGUAGAUAUAGGAAGGAACACCAGUGGCGAAGGCGACCACCUGGGCUGAUACUGACGCUGAGGUGCGAAAGCGUGGGGAGCAAACAGG
RNAcentral lists this ribosomal RNA (253 nucleotides) under uncultured bacterium. Its description in RNAcentral is "partial 16S ribosomal RNA". It matches the Rfam family "Bacterial small subunit ribosomal RNA", at positions 524 to 776 of the family's 1533-position model. The record is from RNAcentral.